AACGAACGCUGGCGGCAGGCCUAACACAUGCAAGUCGAGCGGACCUUUCGGGGUCAGCGGCGGACGGGUGAGUAACGUGUGGGAAUAUGCCCUUCUCUACGGAAUAGUCCUGGGAAACUGGGGGUAAUACCGUAUACGCCCUUUGGGGGAAAGAUUUAUCGGGGGAGGAUGAGCCCGCGUUGGAUUAGGUAGUUGGGGGGGUAAUGGUCUACCAAGCCGACGAUCCAUAGCUGGUUUGAGAGGAUGAUCAGCCACACUGGGACUGAGACACGGCCCAGACUCCUACGGGAGGCAGCAGUGGGGAAUCUUAGACAAUGGGGGCAAUCCUGAUCGAGCCAUGCCGGGUGAGUGAUGAAGGCCUUAGGGUUGUAAAGCUCUUUCAGCUGGGAAGAUAAUGACGGUACCAGCAGAAGAAGCCCCGGCUAACUCCGUG
RNAcentral lists this ribosomal RNA (433 nucleotides) under uncultured bacterium. RNAcentral describes it as "partial 16S ribosomal RNA". It matches the Rfam family "Bacterial small subunit ribosomal RNA", at positions 29 to 507 of the family's 1533-position model. The record is from RNAcentral.